Cyanistes caeruleus (blue tit) is the source of this 1385-nucleotide non-coding RNA. The record is from RefSeq and is a predicted model, not a curated record. Lineage: Eukaryota; Metazoa; Chordata; Aves; Passeriformes; Paridae.
CACACCGCGCAGGGAACACGCUCCGGCGGAUCCGCGCUCCCGGAUGCGGCCGGACGCCACUUCCCGCGGGCCGCGGGCUGCCGGGCAAUAAGUCUGUAACUCGUCUGAAGUGGCAUCAAAGCAAAAGAAAAAAUGCGUGCCUCAUGACCAACACCUUUGACUUCUGGCUGCUAUGGCUUCAUGUGUUUCUGGAUUUCUCUCAAGGAUGUGCAGCAGGUUCCCCCUCCUGGCAGCAUGGGUUUCAGGACUGUAAGCCAUCUGCUCCAGGUUCUAAUCGUCCCCAGAGGCUUUCGAUUCAAUCACUCUUUAACAGCAAGAAAGACAUAUUCCAGUGACCAAGGAUGUUGGAAUCAACAUCCACAGUCAGCCUAAUUUCUGGCUUAUGGUGAUUAAGCCUGAAGACUGAUUGGAAGACACUCAGGAAGAAAGUGUAAUGAAGUAUGUUGACAAGAAAGGAGCAAGAGUCAGCUGAUAGGGCUUCUAAUACCAUAACAAUUACAAAUAAUCUAAGCAAUCUCAGUCUAGUUAACACUUUUAAAUUGAAGAUGCAGAACCUGAUUUCCCACUUCUCUCCCAACCAUUCAUCUCUAAUUUAGGUGACUGAGAAGUAGUCACAAGAACUACCUCCUACUUUGAGAUGAUUUUUCUGUAGGUGGAGGAGACUCUACAAAACAGCAGUAGAGAAUUAGGACUCUCAGUGUGUCUGCUGGGCAUUCCCAGGUGUGUAAUAAAAAGACUGACAAACAUUUAUGCUAAAACAAAAUAAAGACUUCAAAUAUAGCCCAGUAAAUUUAAGUUGAACCAUUACCAGGUUACUAUUCAAAAUGAAAUAUAUCUAGGAGAUUUGUUUAGAUGCAACUGAAACAUGAAAACCACUUGAUGUUUAGCUGAAAUGUCACAAGGGAAGAAAACCUGGCUGGUGUUCAAGAUUACUUGUUAAAUGAAUCUGGGAUGACAACUCCAUGUCUGUAGCAAGAAUGCUUUUUCAUUUCUUAGCACUUGUAAUUUAGAAAGUACUCAAUGCACUUCUAUGCAAAGCACUCAUUUCUAGAUUCUGGUUUGGUGUCUUGGUCAUGACAGCAAAAGUUGUCUUUCACAAUUUUGCCUCAAUUUCAUUUAAAUAGAAUGUAAAGCUAUUAUUUAUUUAUGCAAGUUAAUGGAUUUAAAAAUGUCAUACUUUGGCAGAUUUAAGAAGAAAUUGCCCUUUGCCCUUUGCAACUAGUCCCCUUUUAUUUCAUACCAAUCGUUUUCCUGACUUUCCCCCUUUUGUUCUACACCUGUUGUUGCUUCUUGUUUGAUAUUGUCUCUCCUGUUGAGCACUUCAGACCAUGCUACUGUUCAGUUUAACUUGAAAGUAGACAUUAAAUUAUAUUUUUAAAAAUCAA